Molecule: ribosomal RNA, 253 nt
Filed under: uncultured Gemmatimonas sp.
Lineage: Bacteria; Pseudomonadati; Gemmatimonadota; Gemmatimonadia; Gemmatimonadales; Gemmatimonadaceae
Description: partial 16S ribosomal RNA
Rfam family: Bacterial small subunit ribosomal RNA
Source: RNAcentral
UACAGAGGGUGCGAGCGUUGUCCGGAAUCACUGGGCGUAAAGGGCGCGUAGGUGGCGCGACAAGUCAGUGGUGAAAGUUCGACGCUUAACGUCGAAUCGGCCACUGAUACUGUCGGGCUUGAGCACUGUAGAGGCUAAUGGAAUUCCGGGUGUAGCGGUGGAAUGCGUAGAGAUCCGGAAGAACACCGGUGGCGAAGGCGGUUAGCUGGGCAGUUGCUGACACUGAGGCGCGACAGCGUGGGGAGCAAACAGG